AACUUAAAUGAAUUGACGGGGCCCGCACAAGCGGUGGAGCAUGUGGUUUAAUUCGAGGCAACGCGAAGAACCUUACCUGGGCUUGACAUCCCGUGCUACCCCUGGAAACAGGGGAUCCCCGCAAGGGGCGCGGAGACAGGUGUUGCAUGGCUGUCGUCAGCUCGUGUCGUGAGAUGUUGGGUUAAGUCCCGCAACGAGCGCAACCCUUGUCCUUAGUUACCAUCGGUUCGGCCGGGCACUCUAAGGAGACUGCCGGUGAUAAGCCGGAGGAAGGUGGGGACGACGUCAAGUCAUCAUGGCCCUUACGCCCAGGGCUACACACGUGCUACAAUGGCCGGUACAGUGGGUUGCGAGACCGCAAGGUGGAGCUAAUCCCAAAAAGCCGGUCUCAGUUGGGAUUGGAGUCUGCAACUCGACUCCAUGAACCUGGAAUCGCUAGUAAUCGCGCAUCAGCUACGGCGCGGUGAAUACGUUCCCGGGCCUU
RNAcentral lists this ribosomal RNA (484 nucleotides) under uncultured Candidatus Sumerlaeota bacterium. RNAcentral's name for it is "bacterial SSU rRNA". It matches the Rfam family "Bacterial small subunit ribosomal RNA", at positions 898 to 1382 of the family's 1533-position model. The record is from RNAcentral. Lineage: Bacteria; Candidatus Sumerlaeota.